RNAcentral lists this ribosomal RNA (561 nucleotides) under uncultured Clostridium sp. Its description in RNAcentral is "bacterial SSU rRNA". It matches the Rfam family "Bacterial small subunit ribosomal RNA", at positions 94 to 668 of the family's 1533-position model. Lineage: Bacteria; Bacillati; Bacillota; Clostridia; Eubacteriales; Clostridiaceae. The record is from RNAcentral.
AGCGGCGGACGGGUGAGUAACGCGUGGGCAACCUGCCUUGCACAGGGGGAUAACACAGGGAAACUUGUGCUAAUACCGCAUAACAUCAUGGGGAGGCAUCUUCCUGUGAUCAAAGGAGAAAUCCGGUGCAAGAUGGGCCCGCGUCCGAUUAGCUAGUUGGCGGGGUAACGGCUCACCAAGGCGACGAUCGGUAGCCGAACUGAGAGGUUGAUCGGCCACAUUGGGACUGAGACACGGCCCAGACUCCUACGGGAGGCAGCAGUGGGGAAUAUUGCGCAAUGGGGGAAACCCUGACGCAGCAACGCCGCGUGAAGGAAGAAGGCCUUCGGGUUGUAAACUUCUUUGAUUGGGGACGAAGAAAGUGACUGUACCCAAAAAACAAGCCACGGCUAACUACGUGCCAGCAGCCGCGGUAAUACGUAGGUGGCAAGCGUUGUCCGGAAUUACUGGGUGUAAAGGGCGUGUAGGCGGGGAUGCAAGUCAGAUGUGAAAUUCCGGGGCUUAACCCCGGCGCUGCAUCUGAAACUGUAUCUCUUGAGUGCUGGAGAGGAAAGCGGAAUU